GACGGAGGGGGCAAGCGUUGUCCGGACUCACUGGGCGUAAAGGGUGCGCAGGCGGCAGAGCGCGUCCGCGCUGAAAUCUGUUGGCUUAACUGACAGGCGCGUGCGGAUACGGCUCAGCUCGAGGCACGGAGAGGGUGGGGGAACUCCUGGUGUAGUGGUGAAAUGCGUAGAGAUCAGGAAGAACACCCGUGGCGCAAGCGCCCACCUGGCCGUGACCUGAUGCUGCGGCACGAAAGCGUGGGGAGCGAACCGG
RNAcentral lists this ribosomal RNA (253 nucleotides) under uncultured bacterium. RNAcentral describes it as "partial 16S ribosomal RNA". It matches the Rfam family "Bacterial small subunit ribosomal RNA", at positions 524 to 776 of the family's 1533-position model. The record is from RNAcentral.